UUGGAGUGGGCUUAUUUUGUGAAAUCGAAUGGUUUGUGCAAAUAAAGAAUUGUCUAAGGUAAUGUGAUUCUGCAUUAUCGUAGGCAGGACGAGGCUUAUUCGGGAUGUCUUAUGGACUUCCAAUGCUUGCGUAUCUCAUUCCUCUCAUCAGCAUCCUCAAGUUUUCAAGAUCUUUUCUGCACUCCCAAAUCUUGGUUGGUAUACUAUUUUUUCAAUUCUCUAUCAAAUUUAACAGAAAAUGUGAAAGUUUUGGCUUUUUGAGUUUAAUUUGAAUCUUGUUAUCGUUGUUUAGCAAUUUUUAUUCACCCAAUUUGUUUUUUGUGCUUGCAGAAGCUUAAAGUGUCUGCCUUCAAUUACACACUAAAUUUUGUUGCAAUCUUUUGGUGUUUUAUGUUCCGUCUUGUUUAAUAUUUUUAAGAAAAAAGACUAAAACCAUUGAUUUAUGUACAAAAUGAAGUGUAUGCUUGCUAGCCUACAAAGCUAUAGAACACUGGAUGUUUUAUGAUUGAAUAUCACUUAAAGAGUGAAAGCUUCUACGGCGUGACCUUUUUGCCAAUUUUUCGGAUAAUUUGAGGAGUGGAGAUAACUAGCUUUUAGAUAAACUAUUCAUGUUUUUCAAUUCACAAAGAAUUAUAUAAGUUUCCAUAGCUUGAGGAGGAUCCAACAAGCAUAGGGAAUAUCAUGAAUCUUUUUGUAAAAUAAGGGGUAAAUCACAAUUUAAUGUAGAAUAAGAGGUGAAUCACACAAUUCAAUGUAGAAUAUUAGACUAUCUACACAAAGGUAGAGCCUAGCGGUCACUGAAGUGAGUAAAAACCUUGAAGAAUAGAGUUCAAAUCCAAGCAGAGACAAACAAUGCGAAGGUGAUUUCUUCUAACUAGGAAAUAAUAGCUCGGGGUUUUCGUUGCUUGUGAAUCUGUGAAUUUUCUAAUAUGUUAUGUAUAAUAUAUGACCCGAAUAACUGGAAGAUUUCAACUAAGAAGUUCCAAUCUCAGAGAGAAAUACCUUGAUAAUGCAUAUACAUAGACAUUCCUCAAAAUUGUUUUUUGAUAAAAAUAAAUUUUUAAAAAAAACUAAUAAGUAACUUGAAGGUUUGGCCCUUGAAGUGUUUUAGACCCAUACUAUGUUGGUUAACAAACUGUAUUAAUGUGAUAUUAAAACUUCUCCAUUCUUUCUCUUCUUUCAGCCUCAUUUUGGAUCUAUCCUUAAAACUUUUUGAAGGCUAUAGUGUUGGAAUUGAACUUGCUCCCUUGUGACAACCCGAUAGGUCAUUUUGAGUACUAGCCCUUAUUUUCGUAUUCCGAGACCUCUAUUAGCUUUAUUAGAUAUUUCUUGAUUUACGUGUGUGGUCUGUAUCGCUUUUAGAAACGCUUUUAUGUGAAAUUUUGAAGAAAAUAAAAAAUUUGACUAAAAAUAAGGCUAGAGUUGACCACGGUCAAUAUUUUAGGUAAAAGACCCAGAAUCAGUAUUUUAACGAUUCUGGUAGAUCCAUAUUAUGAUUUUGGACUUAAGCAUAUGCCCGAAAUUUAAUUCGGAGGUCCCUAAGUUGAUUUGACUUGUUUUGCCGAGAGUUGGCAAUUUGAAUGUGUAGAAAUUCUUUAGGUUUGACCGUAGGUUAAAUUAACUGUUAUCGGGUUUGGAUUUUGGUUUUAGAACUUGAAAUAGGUCCGUUUUGCUAUGUGAAACUUGUCUGCAAAAUUCGGUGUAAUUCAGAGUUGGUUUGAUAGGAUUCGUACGCUUGGUUGUGAUUCUAAAGGUUUUUGAGUUUUGUUUUGAAUUUCUUGUGUUUUGAUGUCCGAUUCGUGGUUCUAAAUGUUAUUUUAUUGUUUUGAUCGUGCAAUCCAGUUUAUAUGAUGUUAUUACACUUGUGUGCAUAAUUGGUUUAGAGCCCGAGGGGCUCGGGUGAGUUUCGAAGGUGCUACGGAUGAGUUUGGUUAGUUGAAGAUUGCUGGUGUGCUUUAGUUCUGGUGUUGGGCUGCAGGUCUCGCAUUUGCGAUGAUCUAUUCGCAAAUGCGAACUUUGCUCUUGCGAAGUUGAGCUCGCAAUUGCGUUGGGGGGAAAAGGCAUGGUAGUCUUCGCAUUUGCAAAGAAAUUAAAUGUUCGCAAUUGCGGACAUCCCAGACUUCAUUUUUGCGAUGGCUUGGUCGCAUUUGCGACUGAGCACUUGGCUUAGGCAGGUUCGCAAAUGCGAACCUUUGAUCAGAUUCGCGGUUGGAUGAGACAUUGCAAAUGCGAUGAUUUUGUCGCAAUUUCCUCUUAUAUAGACUGGGGACACAGUUUACAUUUGCGACCUGAGUUUCGCAAUUGCGACAUCUGCAGCUGGAUAAAAGAGGGGAAAAAUUAGGACUUAGCUCAUUUUACACCAUUUCUCAACCCUAAACAAUUUAGAGGUAAUUUUUCAAGAAUUGCUUCUUCCCAAAAUCAUUGGUAAGUAACUCAAACCUACUUUCUUUCAAUUCCCCAUUACUUUUCAUGUGUUUUUAAUAUCAAAUUUAGGAUUUUAUGGUAGAAAUUAGGGAUUUUGAUAGAAUUUAAGAAUUUUAUAAAAUUGAGAUUUAGACCUCAAAUUGAGGUCGAAUUUCGAAACAAAUUACAUAACCGGACUCAAGGGUGAAUGGGUAAUCGUAUUUUGGUCUGAAUCUCGAAUUUUGACCAAGCGGGUCCGGGGUUGAUUUUUGUUGACUUCUUAAAAUUCAUCAAAAAUUGAACAUUUUUCCUUCGUGAGUAGUUUCUAAAGCUUAUUUUGAAUUGUUUGAUAGAUAAUUGAUUAUCUCAUUAAUUGUACGCUUUCGUAAUCAUCGUUUAUGUUAAAGUUGUUGGGAUAUUGAAGGUUGAGUUUGUUUAUCAUAACACUAUGAUUGAAGUGAAAUUUACUUCCCACCUUGUAUUGAUACCUUGGUAUAUUAUUGUUGCUUGGUGAGGAAGAAGGGUGUUGCAUAUGCUAUCAUUUAUUUGAGAGAUUGUGAGGAUUAAAGCACGAAAGUUGAUGCCGUGCACUUGAUUUCUUAUUAUCAUUUAUCUUACCAUGUGAGGAAGAGAGUAAAAGUACGAAGGGUGAUGUCAUGCCAUUUCAUUUAUCAUAUCAUUAUUAUAUGGUGAGGCUGAGAGUAAAAGUAUGAAAGGGUGAUGCCGUACUAAUGUUGAUUCCAUUGCUUUAUUUGAUUUUCGGAUUUUGUGAUUUAUCGGUUGCAUUGUCAUUUAUCUUGGAAGAAGUUUACUUGGUGACUUUGUACUUGCCAUUCUUAUCGUACUUUCUUUUUCUACAUGUUCCCUCCCUGUUAUUAUGUUAAAUGCCUAUUUGUUAUUUUUCUUUCUUCAUGUAUAUAUCUGCUUAGGAUCUUAGUAGGUGUCUUGUCAUAGCCUCGUCACUACCUCAUCGGGGUUAGGCUCGACACUUACUGAGUACAUUGGGUCGGUUGUACUUAUGCUACACUUUUGCACUUAUUGUACAGAUACUGGUGUUGGUCCUAGC
Molecule: long non-coding RNA, 3469 nt
Filed under: Nicotiana tabacum (common tobacco)
Lineage: Eukaryota; Viridiplantae; Streptophyta; Magnoliopsida; Solanales; Solanaceae
Description: long non-coding RNA (NTAB_LNC009420)
Source: RNAcentral